RNAcentral lists this ribosomal RNA (402 nucleotides) under Verrucomicrobiota bacterium. Its description in RNAcentral is "Verrucomicrobia bacterium partial 16S ribosomal RNA". It matches the Rfam family "Bacterial small subunit ribosomal RNA", at positions 355 to 776 of the family's 1533-position model. The record is from RNAcentral. Lineage: Bacteria; Pseudomonadati; Verrucomicrobiota.
UGGGGAAUUUUGCACAAUGGGGGAAACCCUGAUGCAGCGACGCCGCGUGAUUUAGAAGGCCUUCGGGUUGUAAAAAUCUUUUGUAUGGGAAGAAAAUGACAGUACCAUACGAAUAAGGACCGGCUAAUUACGUGCCAGCAGCCGCGGUAAUACGUAGGGGGCUAGCGUUAUCCGGAUUUACUGGGCGUAAAGGGUGCGUAGGUGGUCCUUCAAGUCGGUGGUUAAAGGCUACGGCUCAACCGUAGUAAGCCGCCGAAACUGGAGGACUUGAGUGCAGGAGAGGAAAGUGGAAUUCCCAGUGUAGCGGUGAAAUGCGUAGAUAUUGGGAGGAACACCAGUAGCGAAGGCGGCUUUCUGGACUGCAACUGACACUGAGGCACGAAAGCGUGGGUAGCAAACAGG